GGGGAAGCAGGCUCCUGCCAAGCAGAGAGCCCGAUGUGGGGCUCGAGCCCAGGACCCUGAGAUCAUGACCUGAGCGGAAGGCAGAGGCUUUGAAUACUCCUUAAAGGAUCUAGAUGCCAGUCCUGGAAUGCAUAUAUAAUUAUCCUGCAGUAACCCUGAGUGAUAGGACCUAUAAUUGUCCCCAUUGUACAGAUGAAGAAAGUAAGACACAGAGGGAUUAAAUAAUUUGCCACGAUCACAAAAUCACUCCAGCUGCUGUACAGAGAAUGGAUUGUGGAAGGUAAAAGUGAAAACAGUGGCCUUGGAAAAGAGAUGGCAGUGGCCUCAUCUAGGGGGGAGCAGAAGUUAAGGAAGAAGUGGGUAGAUUUGGGACCGAAUUUGGUUAUAAAACUGAUAACC
Long non-coding RNA from Lontra canadensis (Northern American river otter), 399 nucleotides. RefSeq lists it as uncharacterized. The transcript has 3 exons. The record is from RefSeq and is a predicted model, not a curated record. Lineage: Eukaryota; Metazoa; Chordata; Mammalia; Carnivora; Mustelidae.